Molecule: non-coding RNA, 36 nt
Filed under: Trichobilharzia regenti
Lineage: Eukaryota; Metazoa; Platyhelminthes; Trematoda; Strigeidida; Schistosomatidae
Source: RNAcentral
ACGAGUUCCAAAUAGGACGAAAUGUGCAUCCUGGAU